GACAGAGGAGGCAAGCGUUGUUCGGAAUCAUUGGGCUUAAAGGGCGUGCAGGCGGCCGCGUAAGUGUCCUGUGAAAUCCCACGGCUCAACCGUGGAACUGCGGGGCAAACUGCGUGGCUUGAGGUCGGUAGAGGUGCUUGGAACUCUAGGUGGAGCGGUGAAAUGCGUAGAUAUCUAGAGGAACGCCAGGAGCGAAAGCGGGGCACUGGGCCGUUUCGGACGCUGGGCCCCAAAAGCUUGGGAGCAAACAGG
Molecule: ribosomal RNA, 252 nt
Filed under: uncultured bacterium
Lineage: Bacteria
Description: partial 16S ribosomal RNA
Rfam family: Bacterial small subunit ribosomal RNA
Source: RNAcentral